This 1093-nucleotide ribosomal RNA is filed under the name Salmonella enterica. RNAcentral's name for it is "partial 23S ribosomal RNA". It matches the Rfam family "Bacterial large subunit ribosomal RNA", at positions 1 to 1127 of the family's 2925-position model. Lineage: Bacteria; Pseudomonadati; Pseudomonadota; Gammaproteobacteria; Enterobacterales; Enterobacteriaceae. The record is from RNAcentral.
GGGUUGUGAGGUUAAGCGACUAAGCGUACACGGUGGAUGCCCUGGCAGUCAGAGGCGAUGAAGGACGUGCUAAUCUGCGAUAAGCGCCGGUAAGGUGAUAUGAACCGUUAUAACCGACGAUUUCCGAAUGGGGAAACCCAGUGUGACUCGUCACACUAUCAUUAACUGAAUCCAUAGGUUAAUGAGGCGAACCGGGGGAACUGAAACAUCUAAGUACCCCGAGGAAAAGAAAUCAACCGAGAUUCCCCCAGUAGCGGCGAGCGAACGGGGAGGAGCCCAGAGCCUGAAUCAGCAUGUGUGUUAGUGGAAGCGUCUGGAAAGGCGCGCGAUACAGGGUGACAGCCCCGUACACAAAAGCGCAUGUGCUGUGAGCUCGAUGAGUAGGGCGGGACACGUGGUAUCCUGUCUGAAUAUGGGGGGACCAUCCUCCAAGGCUAAAUACUCCUGACUGACCGAUAGUGAACCAGUACCGUGAGGGAAAGGCGAAAAGAACCCCGGCGAGGGGAGUGAAAAAGAACCUGAAACCGUGUACGUACAAGCAGUGGGAGCACCUUCGGGUGUGACUGCGUACCUUUUGUAUAAUGGGUCAGCGACUUAUAUUCUGUAGCAAGGUUAACCGAAUAGGGGAGCCGUAGGGAAACCGAGUCUUAACCGGGCGUUAAGUUGCAGGGUAUAGACCCGAAACCCGGUGAUCUAGCCAUGGGCAGGUUGAAGGUUGGGUAACACUAACUGGAGGACCGAACCGACUAAUGUUGAAAAAUUAGCGGAUGACCUGUGGCUGGGGGUGAAAGGCCAAUCAAACCGGGAGAUAGCUGGUUCUCCCCGAAAGCUAUUUAGGUAGCGCCUCGUGAAUUCAUCUCCGGGGGUAGAGCACUGUUUCGGCUAGGGGGCCAUCCCGGCUUACCAACCCGAUGCAAACUGCGAAUACCGGAGAAUGUUAUCACGGGAGACACACGGCGGGUGCUAACGUCCGUCGUGAAGAGGGAAACAACCCAGACCGCCAGCUAAGGUCCCAAAGUCAUGGUUAAGUGGGAAACGAUGUGGGAAGGCUCAGACAGCCAGGAUGUUGGCUUAGAAGCAGCCAUCAUUUAAA